UGGCGGACGGGUGAGUAAUGCAUAGGUAACGUGCCCCUUAGUCUGGGAUAGCCACUGGAAACGGUGAAUAAUACCGGAUACUCCUUCUCACUUAAUGUGAGUCGGGAAAGUUUUUCGCUAAGGGAUCGGCCUAUGUCCUAUCAGGUAGUUGGUGAGGUAAGAGCUCACCAAGCCUAUGACGGGUAGCGGGUCUGAGAGGAUGAUCCGCCACACUGGUACUGAGACACGGACCAGACUCCUACGGGAGGCAGCAGUGGGGAAUAUUGCACAGUGGACGAAAGUCUGAUGCAGCAACGCCGCGUGGAGGAUGACACAUUUCGGUGCGUAAACUCCUUUUAUAUGAGAAGAUAAUGACGGUAUCAUAUGAAUAAGCACCGGCUAACUCCGUGCCAGCAGCCGCGGUAAUACGGAGGGUGCAAGCGUUAUUCGGAAUCACUGGGCGUAAAGGGUGCGUAGGCGGUUUGGAAAGUCAGAUGUGAAAUCCUACAGCUUAACUGUAGAACUGCAUUUGAAACUUCCAGACUAGAAUACUGAAGGGGCAGAUGGAAUUAGUGGUGUAGGGGUAAAAUCCGUAGAUAUCACUAGGAAUACCGAAAGCGAAAGCGAUCCGCUGGGAAGUUAUUGACGCUGAGGCACGAAAGCGUGGGGAGCAAACGGGAUUAGAUACCCCGGUAGUCCACGCCCUAAA
RNAcentral lists this ribosomal RNA (688 nucleotides) under uncultured bacterium. RNAcentral describes it as "bacterial SSU rRNA". It matches the Rfam family "Bacterial small subunit ribosomal RNA", at positions 96 to 806 of the family's 1533-position model. The record is from RNAcentral.